RNAcentral lists this ribosomal RNA (253 nucleotides) under uncultured bacterium. RNAcentral describes it as "partial 16S ribosomal RNA". It matches the Rfam family "Bacterial small subunit ribosomal RNA", at positions 524 to 776 of the family's 1533-position model. The record is from RNAcentral.
UACGAAGGGGGCUAGCGUUGCUCGGAAUUACUGGGCGUAAAGGGCGCGUAGGCGGAUGUUUAAGUCGGGGGUGAAAGCCCGGGGCUCAACCUCGGAAUUGCCUUCGAUACUGGCCAUCUUGAGUACGGGAGAGGUGAGUGGAACUCCGAGUGUAGAGGUGAAAUUCGUAGAUAUUCGGAAGAACACCAGUGGCGAAGGCGACUCACUGGCCCGUUACUGACGCUGAGGCGCGAAAGCGUGGGGAGCAAACAGG